Molecule: ribosomal RNA, 536 nt
Filed under: uncultured bacterium
Lineage: Bacteria
Description: bacterial SSU rRNA
Rfam family: Bacterial small subunit ribosomal RNA
Source: RNAcentral
ACGCUGGCGGCGUGCCUAACACAUGCAAGUCGAGCGGUAACAGGUGUAGCAAUACAUGCUGACGAGCGGCGAACGGGUGAGUAAUGUUUCGGAAUCUGCCCAAUGGUGGGGAAUAACCAGCCGAAAGGUUGGCUAAUACCGCAUAAGCCCUACGGGGGAAAGCGGGGGUUCGCAAGACCUCGCGCCGAUGGAUGAGCCGAAACCGGGUUAGCUAGUUGGUAGGGUAACGGCCUACCAAGGCGACGAUCCGUAGCUGGUCUGAGAGGACGACCAGCCACACUGGGACUGAGACACGGCCCAGACUCCUACGGGAGGCAGCAGUGGGGAAUAUUGGACGAUGGGGGAAACCCUGAUCCAGCGACGCCGCGUGUGUGAAGAAGGCCUGCGGGUUGUAAAGCACUUUUAGUGGGGAUGAAAAGCUCAGGGCUAAUACCGCUGAGUCUUGACCUAACCCAAAGAAAAAGCACCGGCUAACUCUGUGCCAGCAGCCGCGGUAAUACAGAGGGUGCAAGCGUUAAUCGGAAUUACUGGGCGUA